GUAGUCUCGCACAGAUGCAUAUCAAUAAGCGGAGGAAAAGAAACUAACAAGGAUUCCCCUAGUAACGGCGAGUGAAGCGGGAAGAGCUCAGAUUUGAAAUCUUAAAGGGUUUCCCUUUACGAAUUGUAGUUUAAAGAAGUGUUUUCUGUUGAGGUUUUGGUAAAAGUUCUUUGGAAUAGGACAUCAUAGAGGGUGAGAAUCCCGUAUUUGACCUUUACUUUCAACUUUGUGAUACACUUUCAAAGAGUCGGAUUGUUUGGGAAUGCAGUCCAAAAUGGGUGGUAAAUUUCAUCUAAAGCUAAAUAUUGGCGAGAGACCGAUAGCGAACAAGUACCGUGAGGGAAAGAUGAAAAGAACUUUGAAAAGAGAGUUAAACAGUACGUGAAAUUGUCAAAAGGGAAGCGUUUGACACCAGUGUUGUUUUUCUGAAAAUCACUUAAAGAACUGUUUAUGCUAAGCUGUUUAGACUUUAUCAGCUAACUGUUUAGUUUUGAGCUUUUCUUUAAUGCACUUUUCAGUUAACAAGUCAACAUCAAUUUCUUUUGCUGUAAAAAAGCUUGAGGAAGGUGGCUUGAGAUUCGUCUUAAGUGUUUAUAGCCUCUUGCCUAUGCAGUCGGAGAGAUUGAGGUCUGCAGCGUAGAUCCUUCGGGGCUAAAUGCAUUUGUGCUAAGUUAUAGCAUUUUAUAGACAACUUGUUGACUAUGAUUUGUCUUGUAGCUUACUCGCUUAUGUUAUUUUACCUACGCUUAGGAUGUUGAACUACUGAGACAUAGA
Molecule: ribosomal RNA, 774 nt
Filed under: uncultured Neocallimastigales
Lineage: Eukaryota; Fungi; Neocallimastigomycota; Neocallimastigomycetes; Neocallimastigales
Description: partial large subunit ribosomal RNA
Rfam family: Eukaryotic large subunit ribosomal RNA
Source: RNAcentral